Molecule: ribosomal RNA, 497 nt
Filed under: uncultured bacterium
Lineage: Bacteria
Description: partial 16S ribosomal RNA
Rfam family: Bacterial small subunit ribosomal RNA
Source: RNAcentral
GAUGAACGCUGGCGGCGUGCCUAAUACAUGCAAGUCGAGCGAACAGACGAGGAGCUUGCUCCUCUGACGUUAGCGGCGGACGGGUGAGUAACACGUGGAUAACCUACCUAUAAGACUGGGAUAACUUCGGGAAACCGGAGCUAGUACCGGAUAAUAUAUUGAACCGCAUGGUUCAAUAGUGAAAGACGGUUUUGCUGUCACUUAUAGAUGGAUCCGCGCCGCAUUAGCUAGUUGGUAAGGUAACGGCUUACCAAGGCAACGAUGCGUAGCCGACCUGAGAGGGUGAUCGGCCACACUGGAACUGAGACACGGUCCAGACUCCUACGGGAGGCAGCAGUAGGGAAUCUUCCGCAAUGGGCGAAAGCCUGACGGAGCAACGCCGCGUGAGUGAUGAAGGUCUUCGGAUCGUAAAUCUCUGUUAUUAGGGAAGAACAAAUGUGUAAGUAACUAUGCACGUCUUGACGGUACCUAAUCAGAAAGCCACGGCUAACUACGUG